AGCAGUAGCCGCGGGAACACGAAGGGUGCAAGCGUUACUCGGAAUUACUGGGCGUAAAGCGUGCGUAGGUGGUGGUUUAAGUCCGUUGUGAAAGCCCUGGGCUCAACCUGGGAAUUGCAGUGGAUACUGGGUCACUAGAGUGUGGUAGAGGAUAGUGGAAUUUCCGGUGUAGCAGUGAAAUGCGUAGAGAUCGGAAGGAACAUCUGUGGCGAAGGCGACUAUCUGGGCCAACACUGACACUGAGGCACGAAAGCGUGGGGAGCAAACAGGAUUAGAUACCCGCGUAGUCCCUGUCUCUUAUAC
This 303-nucleotide ribosomal RNA is filed under the name uncultured bacterium. RNAcentral's name for it is "partial 16S ribosomal RNA". It matches the Rfam family "Bacterial small subunit ribosomal RNA", at positions 507 to 807 of the family's 1533-position model. The record is from RNAcentral.